GAGAGACAGCAGGGAUGUGGUGAAAAAUCAUGUGGGAGAUGCUGAAAGCAAUGAUACUCUAUUAUAUCAUUAGGCUACAAACCAAAAUAAAAAGGAAAUGAGGUGCACAACUGGAGGCUAGCAGAUGUUGCCCAUUGAUUAGACUAGGCUAUUAUUUCUGCAUGUAAAUGUAGUCUUCUGAACCUGGCUGGAGAAACAGACAUCAAUAACCUUCAAGACUUAGACUGGUUCGUAACUGCAGUUCUCCAGCUGGAGGGCCUGCUGGGCUAGAGAGUCUUCUUUUUUAUACUAAAUCCUGUGAUUCAAAUUAAAGAAGACAUGGAGAAUCCAGUGUUGAAACUUCAGCAAUAAGACAAAUCGCUUUGGAUGUGUCACCACUUAUUCUGCAUGUAUUCCAUCUGUAGAAGAGAAACAAGCCUCCAUCUAGAUAAGAACCUACAGAACUAGUUUUAUGUCUGAGAGUAGUGCUUCCAUUUGGGAAUACCUUCCAGUGUUUUUUUCCUCAAAACAUAUAUUUCUGAAUCUCAACUCUUUAGGAAAAUAAGUCCAAAAACUGUAAAAACAGCCAAAAGUUAUACACUAUUCAGAUGCAAACAUAGAGACAUUAAUGCUUUGAAGGAAUCUGGGAAUUGCUUUCUUUUCUAAAAAGAAAGUCCCAGUGCCCUACCCCCUUCUUAUUCCAAAAAUGAUGUACAUAUAUCUCAUUUUGCUUGUCUUUAGAAUCUUCCAUAUAGAUUCCCCCCACAUUUUAAUUAAAUUUGACUUUCUUCUGUUAACAUAUAUCAUUUGAAUUUAAUCCUUAUACUAGCCAGAAGAAUCUAGAAUGGUAGAGGAUUUCGUUUCCUUUCUUGAGACUUCUUAUCCUUACUUUGCAAAGAAAGGGAAGAAUACAAAGCAAAUGACCAUAUAUUUCCUUUCUAAUAAAGUUAGAAUUGGAGGGAGGUCACCAAAGUGUUUAAUAGCCCAGACAGUCUUGAGUUGGAAUCCUGCGUCUAUACUUGCUCAUUAUAUAAUUUUGCAAAAUUAAUAAUGCUCUGGAAUCCUUAAUUUAUUCUUGUGUGAAUGGUGAUACUGAGAAUGAGAGUUCUACGAGAAUGCUGUAGAUUAGGUAUAGAUAAGAUAAAGUGCAAAGUGUCAUACUAUACAUUGCCUACAGAAAGGGUUUAAAGAGUAUUAACAAAAAUUACCAUAAACAAUUGUAAUGCAAUGUAUAAUGCAAAGUGAUGACUCUAGAAGAGAUGUAUAGAUACUGUUCUGGAAACUCAGAACCAGGAACAAUUAAUUUUGCCUGGAGGAUUUAGCAAGACCUUUACUAAGUAGAGGGACUGGAUCACAAAAAGAGAUAGGAAUUCAUCAAUUAGGACGAGUGCCAAGUCAGAGAAAAACACCCAUUCCGGCAAGAGAUAUAGCCUCUGAAUCUUGGCACUGAGCUUGUUAGACAAUCAGAACUUAUUUAUUGAAUUAAAUUGAAUUCCAGGAAUUCAAAAGAAUUAGGUGUACUCAAAAACGUGAAUUUUUCAGUAUGAAUAGAGAACGUAAUCUUCAAGAAAGUGGUAGAAGGAGGCAGAAAGAUUUUUAAGGGAAUCUGAUCCUUACUUUAUACUAGAGACCUGUACUAUAAAAAUUUGUAUUCUCCUCAAAGUGCACAUAUCUAUCACCAACCAAAGAAUGGCCAAAAUAAAUACUUUUAAGAAAAUUCUUUAGGAAACUAUGCGAGGAUUUUGAGUUGAAUGAAAAUAUGAUCAGAUUUUUUAGUUUUAAAGAAAAACAUUGUUUCAUGACACCUGCAUCUUGGGGAUGCCUAAAAGAUACAUAAUUUUACCUUUCACUAAUUUAAAUUUCUGCCUAAAAUAUUACUUUGUAAUAGGCAAAGAAAUAUCUAAUGGCCUUUUCAAUACAGUAUGCAAAGUUGAACAACUCG
This 1921-nucleotide long non-coding RNA is filed under the name Sus scrofa (pig). RNAcentral describes it as "lncRNA (ENSSSCG00060073735.1)". The record is from RNAcentral. Lineage: Eukaryota; Metazoa; Chordata; Mammalia; Artiodactyla; Suidae.